UACGUAGGGUGCGAGCGUUAUUCGGAAUCACUGGGCGUAAAGGGUGCGUAGACGGUAUGUUAAGUUCGUUGUUAAAGGCUCCGGCCUAACUGGAGUUCUGCGAUGAAAACUGGCAAGCUAGAGGGUGAGAGAGAGAAGUGGAAUUCCCGGAGUAGCGGUAAAAUGCGUGGAUCUCGGGAGGAACACCAAUGGCGAAGGCAGCUUCUUGGCUCAUUCCUGACGUUGAGGCACGAAAGCGUGGGGAGCAAACAGG
This 253-nucleotide ribosomal RNA is filed under the name uncultured bacterium. RNAcentral describes it as "partial 16S ribosomal RNA". It matches the Rfam family "Bacterial small subunit ribosomal RNA", at positions 524 to 776 of the family's 1533-position model. The record is from RNAcentral.